GCUUGCUUUCUUUGCUGGCGACCGGCGCACGGGUGAGUAACACGUAUCCACCUACCCUUUACUCGGGGAUAGCCUUUCGAAAGAAAGAUUAAUACCCGAUAGCAUAAUGAUUCCGCAUGGUUUCAUUAUUAAAGGAUUCCGGUAAAGGAUGGGGAUGCGUUCCAUUAGGUUGUUGGUGGGGUAACGGCCCACCAAGCCUUCGAUGGAUAGGGGUUCUGAGAGGAAGGUCCCUCACAUUGGAACUGAGACACGGUCCAAACUCCUACGGGAGGCAGCAUG
RNAcentral lists this ribosomal RNA (279 nucleotides) under uncultured bacterium. Its description in RNAcentral is "partial 16S ribosomal RNA". It matches the Rfam family "Bacterial small subunit ribosomal RNA", at positions 78 to 353 of the family's 1533-position model. The record is from RNAcentral.